AACAAAUUUUUGCUACAAUUUAUAUAUAAUUACGAAAAAAAAAAUUACACAUAAAUUUAUAAACUAAAUUAAGCGAUAAGUUGCACAUCUUUACCUAAACGAUUGGUAAUUAUUUCUAGAUUUUAGUCAGCGAAUUGCAGUUGCAACCAACGAACUCCCCAGGCCAACCCCCACCCUUAAUCUCACAUCCACCCUCAAGCACUCCCCAACAAAUUCAAUAAUUCCACAGUAAUUCAGUUCGAACCGGCACAUGCAAUCCGAAAAUAGUUCAGAGCCCCAUCGAAAAAACCCCAAAAUGGUAUUUGAGGAGGAGAACCAGUUGCCCGCCCAUCCUAAGAUAUAAGUUUUGUUUUUAUUUAUAUAAAAGUAACAAACAAAAAAGAAAAAAAAAACAAAACAAAUUUUCGGCGCAGCGUGAUUAUUAAUUAAUAAGUUUUAAAUAAGCUAGGAAUUCCUCCUUAAGAAAUAAGAAAAAUGAAUUCAAAAUUAUCGUAUUUAAUAUUUCGGCUAGGUUAUCAUUUUUGUACUAUGUAUGAAUAUGUUUAGGUCGGCCCCAAUUUCUCUCCCCUGCCCCAACCUUUGCCCCUCUCCCCACUAUAUUUGUAUGUUUAUCAUAUUCGUGUAUCUAUGUAUCUAUCUGUAGUAAUUGUUUAGCAGCAAGACAAAUUAGUAGCAGAACAGCCGUUUGUGAUGGAUCUCUUGUGUGUUUUGUGUGCCUUGCACUCGCAAAUCACAAAUCGCUAUCGAUAGGGCUUUUUCUAGGUUUAAGCAAGUAUUUUUUUCUAAAUUUAACAACUUACGAUAUUACUAUAUAUACAUAUACUUAUAUGGUAUGCAAACAUCCCAAACAAUUUAAAGAGCGGUUCAAUGUUUCCUGUUUUGUGUUUUAAUUUUGUGCAUAAAUAAAAAAAAGUCACCAGAAAUUCCCCUCCUCUACUAAACACCCCAUCCAACAAUCUAAUAACUCAUAAAUUGUGUAAAAUUUUCAAAAGAUUUCAAUCUUUACUUUUAAUCGAAUUAGAAGGAAAAACCAAAUCUGAUAUUCAACUGUGAAAAUCUUUCAAAAAUCAACUCCGAAUUGUGUGGAAAUUUCAAAAGAUUUAAAUCUUUACUUUUAAUCGAAUUAGAAGGAAAAACCAAAAUGAUAAUUCCAACUGUGACAGCGAAUGAUUCGGUCCAAUCUAAACAGCAGAAACUGUGUUAAACGUUUAACUUUAAUUAACCUUGAUCGGUGUAUUGUGUUGCGUUUAUAACGUCACGAUUCUAGCGGUCAAACUUAUUUCUUUCCUUAAGUUUUCGUCAAACUAUCUGUGAAUUGCGACGCAUCCAACGAAUCAUUUUGCUAGUGAUUCCCAAAGUUGGUUCGCUUCGCACUUAACUUUUGCCUGUGACAAGAAAUUUUAUAAAAAUUUAAAAA
Drosophila navojoa is the source of this 1417-nucleotide long non-coding RNA. The record is from RefSeq and is a predicted model, not a curated record. NCBI's taxonomy places the organism in Eukaryota, Metazoa, Arthropoda, Insecta, Diptera, Drosophilidae.